RNAcentral lists this long non-coding RNA (215 nucleotides) under Nicotiana benthamiana. RNAcentral's name for it is "long non-coding RNA (NBEN_LNC035609)". Lineage: Eukaryota; Viridiplantae; Streptophyta; Magnoliopsida; Solanales; Solanaceae. The record is from RNAcentral.
AGCAGCAUUCUGCUUAACAAAAACAAGUAAGAUCAACAGCUUAACAAAAAGAAGAAAGAAGAAGAAAGAGUGCAUAUCAACAGCAGCAUUCAGCAGACAACAAAGUACCAAUAGCAGCAGCAGUGCAUAUCAACAGCAGCAUUCAGCAGCAUCAGUGCAUAUCAACAGCAGCAUUCAGCAGACAGCAGCAGAAAGAAGAAGAAAGAGUUACAGAG